AAAAGUACAAGGUCUCCGUUGGUGAACCAGCGGAGGGAUCAUUACCGAGUUUACAACUCCCAAACCCAAUGUGAACGUUACCAAACUGUUGCCUCGGCGGGAUCUCUGCCCCGGGUGCGUCGCAGCCCCGGACCAAGGCGCCCGCCGGAGGACCAACCAAAACUCUUUUUGUAUACCCCCUCGCGGGUUUUUUAUAAUCUGAGCCUUCUCGGCGCCUCUCGUAGGCGUUUCGAAAAUGAAUCAAAACUUUCAACAACGGAUCUCUUGGUUCUGGCAUCGAUGAAGAACGCAGCGAAAUGCGAUAAGUAAUGUGAAUUGCAGAAUUCAGUGAAUCAUCGAAUCUUUGAACGCACAUUGCGCCCGCCAGUAUUCUGGCGGGCAUGCCUGUCCGAGCGUCAUUUCAACCCUCGAACCCCUCCGGGGGGUCGGCGUUGGGGAUCGGCCCUCCCUUAGCGGGUGGCCGUCUCCGAAAUACAGUGGCGGUCUCGCCGCAGCCUCUCCUGCGCAGUAGUUUGCACACUCGCAUCGGGAGCGCGGCGCGUCCACAGCCGUUAAACACCCAACUUCUGAAAUGUUGACCUCGGAUCAGGUAGGAAUACCCGCUGAACUUAAGCAUAUCAAUAAGCGGAGGAAAAGAAACCAACAGGGAUUGCCCCAGUAACGGCGAGUGAAGCGG
RNAcentral lists this ribosomal RNA (676 nucleotides) under Trichoderma sp. B19B. RNAcentral's name for it is "eukaryotic LSU rRNA". The stretch from base 245 to 398 matches the Rfam family "5.8S ribosomal RNA". The record is from RNAcentral. Lineage: Eukaryota; Fungi; Ascomycota; Sordariomycetes; Hypocreales; Hypocreaceae.